AUUGAACGCUGGCGGCAUGCCUUACACAUGCAAGUCGAACGGCAGCACGGGGCAACCUGGUGGCGAGUGGCGAACGGGUGAGUAAUGUAUCGGAACGUACCUUUCAGUGGGGGAUAACGUAGCGAAAGUUACGCUAAUACCGCAUAUUCUGUGAGCAGGAAAGCAGGGGAUCUUAGGACCUUGCGCUGAUUGAGCGGCCGAUAUCAGAUUAGCUAGUUGGUGAGGUAAAGGCUCACCAAGGCGACGAUCUGUAGCGGGUCUGAGAGGAUGAUCCGCCACACUGGAACUGAGACACGGUCCAGACUCCUACGGGAGGCAGCAGUGGGGAAUUUUGGACAAUGGGCGAAAGCCUGAUCCAGCCAUUCCGCGUGCAGGAUGAAGGCCCUCGGGUUGUAAACUGCUUUUGUACAGAACGAAAAGGUUUCUACUAAUACUAGGAGCUCAUGACGGUACUGUAAGAAUAAGCACCGGCUAACUACGUGCCAGCCGCCGCCGUAA
This 498-nucleotide ribosomal RNA is filed under the name uncultured bacterium. RNAcentral describes it as "partial 16S ribosomal RNA". It matches the Rfam family "Bacterial small subunit ribosomal RNA", at positions 30 to 523 of the family's 1533-position model. The record is from RNAcentral.